This 1471-nucleotide long non-coding RNA is filed under the name Sus scrofa (pig). Its description in RNAcentral is "lncRNA (ENSSSCG00040034365.1)". Lineage: Eukaryota; Metazoa; Chordata; Mammalia; Artiodactyla; Suidae. The record is from RNAcentral.
AUGUAUUUUUUUGUUUUGUAUGUGUGUUUUUGGGAGAGUGACAUCUUACUCCUCCACCGUCUCGAUCCUUCCCGUUCUAAUGAAAUUUUAAAAGGGGACAGGGCACCGACUCAUGCAAUAAAUUUCACCUUCAAAGGCCAAAAAAAGAACAAAAGAUUCCAGUGCCUGCUGGCCUGUUCCGCCCUCCAUCCUAAAGACCCAGAGGAGGCAGCAGGAGAUUCCUGCCAUCGUAAAUUUCUGGCUGAUGGAGAAGGGAAGGGAGAAGAGCCAAGUGCCCUCGGAAUUCUUGGCCGCCCCCCAGUGACCACCGGUCCUGGCCGGCUCCCCACACCGUGCUGGAGAACACAGUGUCGCUGUCCUGUGCAUGAGGUCUCAGGAUGGACAGACCAGCCAACAUGGCUCUGGAGUAAGAAGACUCCCCCUUGGAAGAUUUGGUGUGCCGGCCCCACAGUCACCGACCCCCUGGACUAGCCCAUGCGUGGUGAGUUGCUUCUCUGCUGGUGACUCUGCAUUUGCUCUGAGCCAGGCUGGCUCCUGUGGUCUCUGUGGUGUGUGGACCUGGCCCACUCCCCCUGGAGCAGGAAGUACCAGGGCCUUCAUGCUGCAGAGCUGCAGACACGACCUGGUCCACAUUUGCUAGAGCCUUCCUUCGGAAAGGCCGCCCAGAUGCCCCGAGCCUCGAGUUCCCUGUCUGUAAAAAUACGGACAACAGUGCCCUGCUUCCAGAGGCUGCAGGACUCAAGCAGGAGGUGACGGGCCAUGCCCCAGCCUUCCUCCUCUGAGGGAACAGGAGCUGAUCCCGGGACAGUCACCUGCCCAGGACACAGAGCUCCACAGUGCGUCACACAGAAAACAGCCGGACGCGCCUGGCGUUUCCUUACCCAAGUCUUUUGACUUUACUCCUUUUGUGCACAUUGCUCAGGGCUCUCAGAGUUGGGUUUUGUUUCGGGAUCCAAUUUCAGUCUCGUCCUUUUAAAGGGCCUGUUGGGCACACUCACGUGUACUCACAUGAAGACAGAUGUGUUUGGUGUCUAUCUUGUUUUGCCUUUUAAUGCCAUACUUUCCAUUUUUCCCUUUUUUUCUUUUCUUUUCCUUCUUAGGGCCACGCCUGUGGCCAGUGGAAGUUCCUGGGCUAGUGGUCGAAUCUGGGCUACAGCCGCCAGCCGCCAGCCGCCAGCACAGCCACAGUCGCACCCACUCCAAGCUGCAUCUGCAGUCUACACCGCAGCUUUCAGGAACACUGAAUCCUUAACCCACUGAGUGAUGCCAGGGCUUGCCCCCGCAUGCUCAUGGGUGCUAGUCGGAUUCUGAACCUGCUGAGCCACAACAGGAACUCCAGUGCUUUCCGUUUGUCACCCUCCUAAGGCAGUCUUCCACUCCCAGUCGUCCUCCUUUGCUGCUCUGCGGGUGGAGCGGUCGUCUUCACAAGGAGGGCCUCCUCAGCGUCCUCUGCGCAGCCUCCUCAGGCAGC